UUGAUAUAGUAUAUAGAUCAACGAUUAUAUAAAUAUAAGUAGUGAUUUAUGUUUGUUUAUGACUGAAUUUAAAACCAUAAAAUAUUUUUGGUGAUGAUUUCAUGGACGUUUAUGGGGUUGGAAAAAAUGAAAAUCAUGCUGGAAAUUUCAGAAAAAUAAUAACUUUUUGGUAAUGCCUUCGUGCAUGGUUUUUAUCGUAACUUUCAACUCGUAAAUCAUUUUGGGACGAGGUUUGAAGCAUUAGGUAGAUAAAAUAGAGGGAUAUAACUUUGUUUCAAGGGUAAAAUAUUUUUG
This 294-nucleotide long non-coding RNA is filed under the name Lathyrus oleraceus (garden pea). RNAcentral's name for it is "Pisum sativum (pea) long non-coding RNA (PSAT_LNC013152)". Lineage: Eukaryota; Viridiplantae; Streptophyta; Magnoliopsida; Fabales; Fabaceae. The record is from RNAcentral.